GGGUCUAUAGUUUAAUUGGUAAAACAGCGGUCUCCAAAACCGCCGUUCCAGGUUCAAGUCCUGGUGGACCCGCCU
Molecule: transfer RNA, 75 nt
Filed under: Candidatus Nomurabacteria bacterium RIFCSPLOWO2_01_FULL_33_24
Lineage: Bacteria; Candidatus Nomuraibacteriota
Description: tRNA-Trp
Rfam family: tRNA
About the family: Transfer RNA (tRNA) molecules are approximately 80 nucleotides in length. Their secondary structure includes four short double-helical elements and three loops (D, anti-codon, and T loops). Further hydrogen bonds mediate the characteristic L-shaped molecular structure. tRNAs have two regions of fundamental functional importance: the anti-codon, which is responsible for specific mRNA codon recognition, and the 3' end, to which the tRNAs corresponding amino acid is attached (by aminoacyl-tRNA synthetases). tRNAs cope with the degeneracy of the genetic code in two manners: having more than one tRNA (with a specific anti-codon) for a particular amino acid; and 'wobble' base-pairing, i.e. permitting non-standard base-pairing at the 3rd anti-codon position.
Source: RNAcentral